CACGUAGUUAGCCGUGGCUUUCUCACAGAGUACCGUCACUUUCUUCUUCCUCUGCGACAGAAGUUUACAACCCGAAGGCCCGUCAUCCUUCACGCGGCGUUGCUGCGUCAGGGUUUCCCCCAUUGCGCAAAUAUUCCCCACUGCUGCCUCCCGUAGGAGUCUGGGCCGUGUCUCAGUCCCAAUGUGGCCGAUCAACCUCUCAGUUCGGCUACUGAUCGUCGACUAGGUGGGCCGUUACCCCGCCUACUAUCUAAUCAGACGCGAGUCCAUCUGUAAGCGAUAAAUCUUUCAAAGCUUCCCAUGCGGAAAAACUUCAAUAUGCGGUAUUAGCACAGAUUUCUCUGUGUUAUCCCCCUCUUACAGGCAGGUUACUCACGCGUUACUCACCCGUCCGCCGCUCUCCACAAAAGACUUCACCCCGAAGGGAUCAGUCUCUUGUUUCCCGCUCGACUUGCAUGUGUUAGGCACGCCGCCAGCGUCGUCUCGUGCGCGAGUCAACGUACUCUAC
RNAcentral lists this ribosomal RNA (508 nucleotides) under uncultured Eubacteriales bacterium. RNAcentral describes it as "uncultured Clostridiales bacterium partial 16S ribosomal RNA". The record is from RNAcentral. Lineage: Bacteria; Bacillati; Bacillota; Clostridia; Eubacteriales.